This 253-nucleotide ribosomal RNA is filed under the name uncultured bacterium. RNAcentral describes it as "partial 16S ribosomal RNA". It matches the Rfam family "Bacterial small subunit ribosomal RNA", at positions 524 to 776 of the family's 1533-position model. The record is from RNAcentral.
UACGGAGGGUGCGAGCGUUAAUCGGAAUUACUGGGCGUAAAGCGCGCGUAGGCGGUUGUGCGAGUCGGGUGUGAAAGCCCCGGGCUUAACCUGGGAAUUGCAUUCGAUACUGUACGGCUAGAGUCUAGGAGAGGGAAGUGGAAUUCCGGGUGUAGCGGUGAAAUGCGUAGAUAUCCGGAGGAACACCAGUGGCGAAGGCGACUUCCUGGCCUAAGACUGACGCUGAGGUGCGAAAGCGUGGGGAGCAAACAGG